UACGUAGGGUGCGAGCGUUAAUCGGAAUUACUGGGCGUAAAGCGUGCGCAGGCGGUUCGUUGUGUCGGCGGUGAAAGCCCCGGGCUUAACCCUGGGAAUGGCCGUUGAAACUGGCGAACUGGAGUGUGGCAGAGGGGGGUGGAAUUCCGCGUGUAGCAGUGAAAUGCGUAGAGAUGCGGAGGAACACCGAUGGCGAAGGCAGCCCCCUGGGCUAACACUGACGCCUCAGGCACGAAAGCGUGGGGAGCAAACAGG
RNAcentral lists this ribosomal RNA (255 nucleotides) under uncultured bacterium. RNAcentral describes it as "partial 16S ribosomal RNA". It matches the Rfam family "Bacterial small subunit ribosomal RNA", at positions 524 to 776 of the family's 1533-position model. The record is from RNAcentral.